ACAACGUUGGAACAGUCGGUCUACCGAGCAAUAUCACCAGCUCAGUGGAAGAUAUUCCUUACGUCCA
Molecule: microRNA precursor, 67 nt
Filed under: Bombyx mori (domestic silkworm)
Lineage: Eukaryota; Metazoa; Arthropoda; Insecta; Lepidoptera; Bombycidae
Description: mir-2774 microRNA precursor family
Rfam family: mir-2774 microRNA precursor family
Source: Rfam by way of RNAcentral